CCUACGGGUGGCAGCAGUAGGGAAUCUUCCACAAUGGGCGAAAGCCUGAUGGAGCAACGCCGCGUGGGUGAAGAAGGUCUUCGGAUCGUAAAACCCUGUUGUUAGAGAAGAAAGUGCGUGAGAGUAACUGUUCACGUUUCGACGGUAUCUAACCAGAAAGCCACGGCUAACUACGUGCCAGCCGCCGCGGUAAUACGUAGGUGGCAAGCGUUAUCCGGAUUUAUUGGGCGUAAAGGGAACGCAGGCGGUCUUUUAAGUCUGAUGUGAAAGCCUUCGGCUUAACCGGGGUAGUGCAUUGGAAACUGGGAGACUUGAGUGCAGAAGAGGAGGGUGGAACUCCAUGUGUAGCGGUGAAAUGCGUAGAGAUAUGAAAGAACACCGGUGGCGAAGGCGGCUCUCUGAUCUGUAACUGACGCUGAGGUUCGAAAGCGUGGGUAGCAAACAGGAUUAGAUACCCUUGUAGUC
RNAcentral lists this ribosomal RNA (465 nucleotides) under uncultured bacterium. Its description in RNAcentral is "partial 16S ribosomal RNA". It matches the Rfam family "Bacterial small subunit ribosomal RNA", at positions 338 to 795 of the family's 1533-position model. The record is from RNAcentral.